RNAcentral lists this ribosomal RNA (378 nucleotides) under uncultured eukaryote. RNAcentral describes it as "partial 18S ribosomal RNA". It matches the Rfam family "Eukaryotic small subunit ribosomal RNA", at positions 592 to 976 of the family's 1831-position model. The record is from RNAcentral.
CAAUAGCGUAUAUUAAAGUUGUUGCAGUUAAAAAGCUCGUAGUUGGAUUUCGGGAUGGCACUGCCGGUCCGCCGCAAGGUGUGUCACUGGCCGGGCUGUUCUUCUUCGCAAAGACUGCGUGUGCUCUUAACUGAGUGUGCGGAGAAUUUGUGACGUUUACUUUGAAAAAAUUAGAGUGUUCAAAGCAGGCCAGCGCUUGAAUACAUAAGCAUGGAAUAAUGGAAUAGGACUUUGGUUCUAUUUUGUUGGUUUCUGGAACCGAAGUAAUGAUUAAGAGGGACAGUUGGGGGCAUUCGUAUUUCAUUGUCAGAGGUGAAAUUCUUGGAUUUAUGAAAGACGAACUACUGCGAAAGCAUUUGCCAAGGAUGUUUUCAUUAA